UGACACAGUGCAUGUUCGCCAUAUCAGUAC
This 30-nucleotide non-coding RNA is filed under the name Rattus norvegicus (Norway rat). The record is from RNAcentral. Lineage: Eukaryota; Metazoa; Chordata; Mammalia; Rodentia; Muridae.